RNAcentral lists this ribosomal RNA (555 nucleotides) under uncultured bacterium. RNAcentral describes it as "bacterial SSU rRNA". It matches the Rfam family "Bacterial small subunit ribosomal RNA", at positions 354 to 897 of the family's 1533-position model. The record is from RNAcentral.
UUGGGGAAUUUUGGACAAUGGGCGCAAGCCUGAUCCAGCCAUGCCGCGUGUCUGAAGAAGGCCUUCGGGUUGUAAAGGACUUUUGUCAGGGAAGAAAAGGCUGUUGCUAAUACCGACAGCUGAUGACGGUACCUGAAGAAUAAGCACCGGCUAACUACGUGCCAGCAGCCGCGGUAAUACGUAGGGUGCGAGCGUUAAUCGGAAUUACUGGGCGUAAAGCGAGCGCAGACGGUUACUUAAGCAGGAUGUGAAAUCCCCGGGCUCAACCUGGGAACUGCGUUCUGAACUGGGUGACUAGAGUGUGUCAGAGGGAGGUAGAAUUCCACGUGUAGCAGUGAAAUGCGUAGAGAUGUGGAGGAAUACCGAUGGCGAAGGCAGCCUCCUGGGAUAACACUGACGUUCAUGCUCGAAAGCGUGGGUAGCAAACAGGAUUAGAUACCCUGGUAGUCCACGCCCUAAACGAUGUCAAUUAGCUGUUGGGCAACUUGAUUGCUUAGUAGCGUAGCUUAACGCGUGAAAAUUGACCGCCUGGGGGAAGUACGGUCGCAAGAUUUA